This 506-nucleotide ribosomal RNA is filed under the name Haloarcula sp. AJ123. Its description in RNAcentral is "bacterial SSU rRNA". It matches the Rfam family "Archaeal small subunit ribosomal RNA", at positions 324 to 828 of the family's 1478-position model. Lineage: Archaea; Methanobacteriati; Methanobacteriota; Halobacteria; Halobacteriales; Haloarculaceae. The record is from RNAcentral.
UACGGGGUGCAGCAGGCGCGAAACCUUUACACUGCACGACAGUGCGAUAGGGGGACUCCGAGUGUGAGGGCAUAUAGCCCUCGCUUUUCUGCACCGUAAGGUGGUGCAAGAAUAAGGACUGGGCAAGACCGGUGCCAGCCGCCGCGGUAAUACCGGCAGUCCAAGUGAUGGCCGAUAUUAUUGGGCCUAAAGCGUCCGUAGCUUGCUGUGUAAGUCCAUUGGGAAAUCGACCAGCUCAACUGGUCGGCGUCCGGUGGAAACUACACAGCUUGGGGCCGAGAGACUCAACGGGUACGUCUGGGGUAGGAGUGAAAUCCUGUAAUCCUGGACGGACCACCAAUGGGGAAACCACGUUGAGAGACCGGACCCGACAGUGAGGGACGAAAGCCAGGGUCUCGAACCGGAUUAGAUACCCGGGUAGUCCUGGCUGUAAACAAUGCUCGCUAGGUAUGUCACGCGCCAUGAGCACGUGAUGUGCCGUAGUGAAGACGAUAAGCGAGCCGGCC